AGUAAUUGCUGUCCGGUCAAUGAAAUGUGGGACACACGAAAUAUCUCGGCCCCUUCUACCUCUCAGUUCAACCUUUCCCACCCCCUCCUAUCUAGCUCGUCGGCGGAGAGCGAAAAAAUGGCGGCGGAGAGCUGCAUGGGGAAGGUGCUGACCUGCGAGGCAACGGACUCGAAUUCCUACUGGAUCCAGUUGACAGGUGACUGCGGGUGUUGAGCAGCCAGAUCCAUUAAUUGGUGUUGAGGGCCGUCAGACGCGGUUGUGGCUGGUCCCGACUCCUCGUGCGCAGUUGUGGUUGGAUACCUCGGUGGCUCUGCUGAGUAGAGAGAUUCCGGCGGCAAGAGGAAGGAGUCGCCAACCCAGUCCGAGGGGCAAGUUGAACCCAGAUACCCGGAGGUCGACCAGAAGGUUGAGAGGUCGACGUGUACCUCAAGAUAGGGCACCCUGCCCUGUUUGAGUCACUCCAUUAGAAGAAACAAUCAGGAGGUACGCUGAUAAACCAUCGGACAAUGUAGUGAAGCCACAGAUUGGGCUGAAUUUUGACUCCCUGAGGAUCACUUCACUAAUUUGUACAUUCAACUAAGUAAGAGUUUGUAUAAAAAUAAGACCAGCCCUGAACAGGCAUUCACCUCCCUGCAGUAGCGUUUAUUUGGGUAAAAGAAGGAUGUGGUGCAUCAGAUCCACGGAAUUUUGGUCGCGGCUUUGCGUAUUGGUUGCUCGCGGCGUCCUCGGUGCGGGCUUCGGAGUUUUGGUCGUCUAGUUGUAGAUUGGUUUGCUUCUCUGGUCGGAGAGUUUAGCCGUGUUCUUCUUUGUUUGGGUCGUGCAUCUUUCAUCUCUCCGUUUCGGGCACCAUGUUCACGCCCCUUGCGUCCGUGUCAUGUGUUGUACCACCUCAUGUAAUCAUUCUCACUUCUUCUAUCAAUGCAAUGAUACGCAAGCUUUGCGUAUUCGAGAAAAACAAAGAUCCACGAAAUUUUGCUUUCACUACAAAGGGUCAACGAUUCUAAAAAAAGACCAAUAUGAUAGCUUGCACAAUCAGAUUCUAAGAAUAUGGGUCUCAUGAGCACUGAGGGUUAACAUGUUAAAAGCUCCACGGAAGAAAACAUCUCCCUAAGAAACAAGUGAACUAUAUAUUUCAAAGAGAACCAUACAUGCACAUUUAACCGUUGCAAGGAAAUAUAAAAAGAUUACUAAAUAACCAAAUUUGGUUAGUCAAGUAAGUUAUAAAUCAUUAAGAAAUAUUAGGCAAACAAAAGUUUUGACAUUUAUCCCCAUAGGAGUUUGUCCACUUCUUUGCUCGAACAACAUUAGCCCAUUAACAAAUUAAUUUCUAUGUCCAUAGUAGCGUUAUUUGCACCGAGCAGCGCCAUUAUGGUUCAGUGCAUUACGUUCUCUGCUAACGGAAUAAAUAUGCAGCUUGCAAACAAUAGAACGGAUCCAUGUCUAGUAGCCUAGUAAAUCAUGUAAUGGUUUGAAGAUAAUACUGAAAUCCACAGAACCAAAGAAUUAAACUGCUUUGUUAUUAUUGGUUCUAUGUUCUAAGAGAAGAACAUUUGUUUAGGCUUUUUUUUUCAGGCAGCAUUUAAUUAGGCUUUAGGAGCAUAUCAUCUACUAUGUGUCACGAAUAUGCAAACACUAUGAACAAUUAAGCAAAAGUUACAGCAGAUGUAUCACAUUUCUUAUGCUGGUAGUUCAUGACCUUGGGAUGCAGCCAAAAAACAUAUUUAUGAACACUGUCGAUCAUCGUCAUGGCUCAUGAACAAACCACAAAACUUGGCAAACACUUGAUAGAGAUGAUAUGCCUCUGGUAAGCCUGCUCUUCAUUAGAAUUAGAAUAUCGAUCCUUCAUAUCAUAUCAGUAUUUUUGCUUCACUUGACAAUUUUUUAUUCAGUAUAACAAGAGAGUGUUCACUCUAACUUCAUGAGUUCAAUAAGCACAUUUUUUUUGCUUCUCAACAUAAGAAUUAUCAUACAUAUACAGUAGGUAUGAGAGGAAAACUGCUUCCAGUUCAGAUCCAUGUGGUGUUGUUACACAUAUACAGAAGGUAUGGCAGGAAAACUGCUUCCAGUUUAGAGCAAUGUGGCACUGCCAUACAUACACAGUAGUUAUGAGAGGAAAUGCUUCAGGUUCAGAGCUAGGUGCAGUCAAUUACAAAAAUCAUAGACAUGAGAACGUAGAUUGCACUUGAUAUCCAAUUUCCCGUUAGGGUAGGCCUCAAAAAUCUACCACUAUGUACAGGAAAGGUUAAAAAACAUUAUAUUACAGAGUUUUUCUUGUUCAGCACAAUAUUAUGUAAAAAAGGCCUAACAACAUAAUCCACUGUUGGUCUUUUGUCCGCAUCAACAAAAUCUUGCAAUUCCUACCAUGGUUAUUUAUAUGUUUUGCCCAGAGAUAAAAGCUGGAAACAGUAACCUCUAAUAGAUUAUCAGCCAGUAAUAAAUAACGGACUCCACAUAAAUUUGGAAACAAAAUAAACAAAGAAGGUACCAUGUCGAACACAUUGAUGUGUGAAGUAAGAAAAUUAAGACAUUGCUGAAAAGCUUAUAGUUCACUUCAUGUUUUUUUUUGCCUAAAUGUCGACAAAUUAACUUUGCAUUUCUUGCAGGUUGUAUACCUGAAAAUGGAAAAGACUAAAGAGGCAAAAACAUACAUGUAAAUUUACAUUCUGGUUUCUCUUGGACCUGCUACAUGCUAAGCUUCUAUAGUCCCAUAUGAACUAAAUAAGGGGACAACACCAGCAGUAGCAGAGUAAAGAAGAAAGUAUGACCUAGAUAAAACAUGAGUAAUCUAUGUUUAAGAAUCAUUCUUAAGGCCAUAUAAAAGGAUGGCAUAUAUAUGCAAGGUAAAUCCGCUAAAUCAAUUCCUAAAGAAUUGAAUGAGCAGAUCAAAUGCAACAAUUCAGAGCAUAUUUGUAGAGGAAGUAAUGGAAAGACAUUGUAUUGCAGUUCUGUAACCAUUUCCUCAAUUCUAUGGAGAUGAAACCAGAGCGUAACCAAUAAUGAAACACAUGAACAUCAUAGGCGAACUAACCUGAUAAUUCCGAAGGAGUAUUCCAUCGAACAACCUGUGAGCAACUAAAACCAAUGGCACAGGACAAUUCACUUGAUCUGGAGUGUGGACUUCUUUGUGUAGGACAUGCUUCGACCAUGGUGAGGGAGAGGUCCAGGCGGCAAGUUUGUCUGCUGGGCGGUGGCGAACAAGAUGGGGACAUUGUCUUCUCCACCCGGUGCCAUCAGGCUUUGCUGGAAAAGGGAUGGUGCAGAAUUCACCCAUUAGUGGCACUAUCGUGCCGGCAACCUCUUGCCACCCUCUUUGUCGGCGGUCUAACCUUCUCCCUUCUCUUCAUCGCCUCCCAUCACAAAAUUUUCCAUCGACGGCAUACUUGAUCCCUUCCCCUAUCAGUGUGAUUGCUGCUGCUAUCCACAACGGUCAUCGAUGGAAGGCGGUGUAUGUUGAAUAAAUAGCGGUGAGGAUGAGAGCCAUGGAAGUUGCAGUCAAGACUGAGCUGCCCGGGACUGUGCACAGGUGGUGCAGAUGGCAUGUUCUUAAGAAAGCAAAAGAGCACCUUGGUCCGCUGUACACCAGCAAGAGCCAGUUCAAGUCUGAAUUCUGCAAAGUAGUGAAUCACAUGAUAAGUGUGGACGAAUUUGAGACUGCAUGAGGCAUGCUGAUUGAGAAGUACAAUUUGACCAUUACAAAACGCAGCUUUACGAUAUAUAACAGAAGUGGGUGAACCCAUACUUCAAAGGUGUCUUUUGUGCCAAGAUGACUAGCACACGGCGCAGCGAGAGUGCAGACAAUAUGUUAAAAGAUGUACACGCCACCAGCCAGUCCAAUGCAUGUGUUCGUGCGGCAGUACAUGAGGCUUCAAUUUUACCAAGAACCAGAUGAGAGCUAGCAAGAAAAGAGGACAAGGAUUGUCGGCGACUUAUAGUUAUAUGUACAUGUUUCAUAUCAUGUUACAUAUGUACCCAAAAGAAAUACAACGUCAGCAUCUCGGACGACAUAUAUAGAGUGGUGCAGUAAUGAGGACAAAUGUUGUGAUCGAAAGGCAUGCAAGUAAGGUCUACACAAGAAUGAUGUUUGGACAAUUCGGUGAGAACCUCUUCGAAGGUGGGCCUUACUAGGUGGAGGAAGUGGAGGGGAAGAAGUACAUCGCAAGGCACAAUGACGUCUGAAAAACAUGAAAAGUGAAGCAAGGUGGAGUACGAGGUGACCAUAUCAGAUGUUGGAGUGGUUCGAAUGUGAGUGCGGGCAGUUUGCCCACAUGGGGAUGCUGUGUUGCCAUGCUUUAAAGGUGAUGGACUAUGUUGGCAUGAAAGAGAUAGCAAAACGGCACAUCCCUGAGAGGUGGACAAAAGAUGUCAGGGACAUCUUGCCGCAGCAUCUUGCUGCUAAUCGAUCUUUCACCUGCCGGAGCUUGACUCUCUACCUGCAGGCCAUGCAGCUCGUAAGGAUUGGGGACUCAUCAGUUGCAACCUACGAGCUCGGGCUAGGUCGGAUGAAGGAAAUAAUCAUGGAAGCAUCGCUGCUGGCUUAAUCCAGGGAUGGACUACGAUUUCAGGAUAGACAAGCUGCCGAAUCGAAUCGCAAUAUCAUUGGAUCGGCAUGUGUGAUCAUCAAAGUUGAGGGAGAUAUGGUUGACAAUGCGAACAGCUUGACUGCUUCCAGCAACUGGGAUGCCCUUACUGGACUGUCGGCUCCAAGCAAGAAGCGUUGUGUUGAGCGACCAUGCUCGAGCAGAGAGAACGUGCCGUACGAGGCGAUGAGUAAGCGGACGAGGUUCUGCAGCAUUUGCAAGCUGCCAGGGCAUAAGAAGACCACCUGCCCAGACAAAGGUGAUGUGUCAAAGCAGCCUCGCAUGCCUGCAAGCUCCAAGAACUGUGGCAUUGGAGGGCAGGGCACCGUGGCACCUCGUACAUCAGGCCGCUAGGUGCCAAUGCAUUUAACCGCUUCUUGCGACCGUGUGUAACAGUAUAAAAAUAAUCGAGGAUUUUCUAGUGUCGGACUUAUGGGUGAACUCCGCUGUUGUUCCUCCCGAGUGUAAACUAGUUGUAUUUUAGAUGAUGAUGUGUCGUUUAAACUUAUAAAUUUGAUUUUCCCAAACAGUAGUACAGCCUGAAUGGCGAGACGAUUUUUUUCCA
Long non-coding RNA from Triticum aestivum (bread wheat), 5142 nucleotides. RefSeq lists it as uncharacterized. The record is from RefSeq and is a predicted model, not a curated record. The transcript is spliced from 4 exons. NCBI's taxonomy places the organism in Eukaryota, Viridiplantae, Streptophyta, Magnoliopsida, Poales, Poaceae.